CCUACGGGUGGCAGCAGUGGGGGAUAUUGUACAAUGGGGGGAACCCUGAUGCAGCGACGCCGCGUGGGUGAAGAAGCGCCUCGGCGCGUAAAGCCCUGUCUGCAGGGAAGAAAAUGACGGUACCUGAAGAAGUAGCCACGGCUAACUACGUGCCAGCAGCCGCGGUUAUACGUAGGGGGCCGGCGUUAUCCGGAUUUACUGGGGGUAAAGGGGGCGCAGGCGGUGAGGCAAGCCAGGGGUGAAAGCCCGGGGCCCAACCCCGGGACUGCUCUUGAAACUGCGUGGCUGGAGUGCAGGAGGGGCAGGCGGAAUUCCUGGUGUAGCGGUGAAAUGCGUAGAUAUCAGGAGGAACACCGGUGGCGAAGGCGGCCUGCUGGACUGCAACUGACGUUGAGGCCCGAAAGCGUGGGGAGCAAACAGGAUUAGAUACCCUUGUAGUC
RNAcentral lists this ribosomal RNA (440 nucleotides) under uncultured bacterium. RNAcentral's name for it is "partial 16S ribosomal RNA". It matches the Rfam family "Bacterial small subunit ribosomal RNA", at positions 338 to 795 of the family's 1533-position model. The record is from RNAcentral.